GUGCCUUGGAGUGGGGAAAAUUCAGAAAAAAUUAGGAACUGUAUACUUGAAUUGGUAGCAAAUUAGCAUCCCAAAUUUUAAGCGCUCAAGCCAACAUUAAGAAAAAAGGAAUUCUGGAGUAUCUAUAAGCUUGUAAAUGUGCUGGAGAGGUCUUUUUUAUUGUUGGAGAAGUUUUGUAGUCGUUGGGGAUGAUUUGCUGAAGAGACUAGCAUUAUUUCUAUCUUUUUUACACUUUACUGAAACAAGGUAUUGA
Theobroma umbraticum is the source of this 253-nucleotide long non-coding RNA. RefSeq lists it as uncharacterized. Lineage: Eukaryota; Viridiplantae; Streptophyta; Magnoliopsida; Malvales; Malvaceae. The record is from RefSeq and is a predicted model, not a curated record.